AACGAACGCUGGCGGCAUGCCUAACACAUGCAAGUCGAACGAGACCUUCGGGUCUAGUGGCGCACGGGUGCGUAACGCGUGGGAACCUUCCCUUAGGUUCGGAAUAACUCCCCGAAAGGGGUGCUAAUACCGGUUAAUGUCUUCUGACCAAAGAUUUAUCGCCUUUGGAUGGGCCCGCGUUGGAUUAGAUUGUUGGUAGGGUAAAAGCCUACCAAGGCGACGAUCCAUAGCUGGUAUGAGAGGAUGAUAAGCCACACUGGGACUGAGACACGGCACAGACUAAUACGGGAGGAAGCAGUGGGGAAUAGUGGAAAAUGGGCGAAAGCCUGAUAAAGCAAUGCCGCGUGAGUGAUGAAGGGCUUAGGGUUGUAAAGCUCUUUUACACGGGAUGAUAAUGACAGUACCGGGAGAAUAAGCACCGGCUAACUACGUG
This 433-nucleotide ribosomal RNA is filed under the name uncultured bacterium. RNAcentral's name for it is "partial 16S ribosomal RNA". It matches the Rfam family "Bacterial small subunit ribosomal RNA", at positions 29 to 507 of the family's 1533-position model. The record is from RNAcentral.